This 490-nucleotide ribosomal RNA is filed under the name uncultured bacterium. RNAcentral describes it as "partial 16S ribosomal RNA". It matches the Rfam family "Bacterial small subunit ribosomal RNA", at positions 30 to 507 of the family's 1533-position model. The record is from RNAcentral.
AUUGAACGCUGGCGGCAGGCCUAACACAUGCAAGUCGAACGGUAACAGGAAGAAGCUUGCUUCUUUGCUGACGAGUGGCGGACGGGUGAGUAAUGUCUGGGAAACUGCCUGAUGGAGGGGGAUAACUACUGGAAACGGUAGCUAAUACCGCAUAAUGUCGCAAGGCCAAAGAGGGGGACCUUCGGGCCUCUUGCCAUCGGAUGUGCCCAGAUGGGAUUAGCUAGUAGGGGGGGUAACGGCUCACCUAGGCGACGAUCCCUAGCUGGUCUGAGAGGAUGACCAGCCACACUGGAACUGAGACACGGUCCAGACUCCUACGGGAGGCAGCAGUGGGGAAUAUUGCACAAUGGGCGCAAGCCUGAUGCAGCUAUGCCGCGUGUAUGAAGAAGGCCUUCGGGUUGUAAAGUACUUUCAGCGGGGAGGAAGGGAGUAAAGUUAAUACCUUUGCUCAUUGACGUUACCCGCAGAAGAAGCACCGGCUAACUCCGUG